RNAcentral lists this ribosomal RNA (465 nucleotides) under uncultured Klebsiella sp. RNAcentral describes it as "bacterial SSU rRNA". It matches the Rfam family "Bacterial small subunit ribosomal RNA", at positions 338 to 795 of the family's 1533-position model. The record is from RNAcentral. Lineage: Bacteria; Pseudomonadati; Pseudomonadota; Gammaproteobacteria; Enterobacterales; Enterobacteriaceae.
CCUACGGGAGGCUGCAGUGGGGAAUAUUGCACAAUGGGCGCAAGCCUGAUGCAGCCAUGCCGCGUGUGUGAAGAAGGCCUUCGGGUUGUAAAGCACUUUCAGCGGGGAGGAAGGCGGUGAGGUUAAUAACCUCAUCGAUUGACGUUACCCGCAGAAGAAGCACCGGCUAACUCCGUGCCAGCAGCCGCGGUAAUACGGAGGGUGCAAGCGUUAAUCGGAAUUACUGGGCGUAAAGCGCACGCAGGCGGUCUGUCAAGUCGGAUGUGAAAUCCCCGGGCUCAACCUGGGAACUGCAUUCGAAACUGGCAGGCUAGAGUCUUGUAGAGGGGGGUAGAAUUCCAGGUGUAGCGGUGAAAUGCGUAGAGAUCUGGAGGAAUACCGGUGGCGAAGGCGGCCCCCUGGACAAAGACUGACGCUCAGGUGCGAAAGCGUGGGGAGCAAACAGGAUUGGAUACCCCGGUAGUC